AUGCAUCUAUAUAUUUCUAUUUACCAGGUUAGCAGAGUGGAGAACUUAAGGACACUGGCUGGAAAACCAGGCUCCCUGGGUUCAAAUCUCGAUUACGAAACACCCGUAAGCCGUGUGCCCUGGAGCAGGUUCCUGAGCCCCUCUGUGCUCCGGGCCUGGCCUGUGACGGGGCGCACGCCCGGGGGGAACGAGGCACUGCCUCGCCGUUACAGCCCAGAGCACACAGCAGGCGCUUCUCCACCACCAACCAGGGUCUCGGCUCCCAGCUCUGCCGUCCGUCAAUGCCACCUUCCAAGUCCCAUCAGGCGCACGGCGAUGCUUGAGACACGCCAUCGAGAAACCACAGACAUGCUGAAAACACAAUCCCGAGUCAGCUCACACGCGGCCACAUUGCUCCCUGCAGCCAGGGGAAUGCGUGGCGACCGGACUCGGCUUGGGGGCCGCCUCCCCGCGGGGCGGCCCGGGCGGCCGCCCCCCCCCCCUGGCGCACUGUCUCCCAGGCUCAGCACUGAAGCCGUGGAUCCUUGUCAACGCCAGAAGAGGAGACUGCAGAGACAUGCCACGCCGGCCCCUGCCUCGCCCCCCAGGGCUGGGCUGAGUGCAUCCCCCCCUGCCUGCCAUGAGGCCUCGUGAGGGCUGGGAGGCUGGGGAGGGGGUCCGUGUCCCCUGACUGUGAGGGUCUCUGCGGGUGUGACUGGAGUCUAUGGAGGGUGUUGCUAUGGCUGCAAAACGCAACUGUAACCACUGAAGGGCCACAGCACGGAGUGGUCACCUCACUCGGGGGUUUGCUGCCACGGUGAUAAGGUUGACACCUCUGUAUUCUGAGAGGCACAAAUAAAGUCCCUUCAUUCAGACUAAAGAAGGCUUCCUCCUUCUUUUACGAGUGAAGGCACCAUGAGUUUCUACACCGCUGGGCUCCUCGUUCAGAACUGAGAGCGUUUGCUUCAUUAAAAGUGGUGUAUUACAGGAAGACACAGGACUUCACUCGUGGAGGGCAGUGCUAAGGCAACAGCAAGACCAGCGCUGGCCUGACCGCGAAGACAGGGUACGGAGCACAACCAGGGUUAGGGAAGCGAGCAGCCGCUCAGUCUGAGCACACAGCCACGAGUAUGGGGUGGCCAAGAAGUCCGUUCAUCUCUUUGCAUAUGAUGGUUCUAGUAGCUCUCGUCUUUAACUUCAUUGGAAACAAUUUUGUUACAUCGUGACAGCUGUCAUAUCGGUACACACUAAAAAAAACAUCAAAAUCGGUGAAUUUCUGUGCAGCCAUUUAAAUGCUGAAGAUGGAAGAAAAAAAGCAACAUUUUCAGCAUCUUAUUGACUGAGCAUGCACACACAGAAGCUUUAUUAUUUCGAGAAAGUUAAGAAUGAGACCGAAAUACAAAAAAAAGACUUGUGCCAGUAUGGACAAGGUGCUGUGACUGAUCAAAAGUGUCAAAAGUGGUUUGUGAAGUUUCAUGCUGGAGAUUUCUCACUGGAUGAUGCUCCGUGGCUCAGCAGACUACUUACUGGGAGUUCACAGCCAUCAAACCGAGACAUUGAGAACAAUCAACCUUACUCCACACGGCCACACGGGAGACAGUGGCCAUGCUCAAAAUGCUCCAAGCGAGGACUGAAAAUCAUUCGCACCAGCCUGAUCAUGUUCAUUGCUGUGAUAGCUGGGCUCCACGUAAGUUUAGCGGAAAAAACCUUCUGUACCUUAUUUCCACAUGUGAUUCUCUACUUAAACAUAACAAAAAUGUUCCAUUUUUAAAACACUAGGCAAGGAAAAAUGGAUACUGUACAAAAGUGUGGAACAGAAGAGAUCACAGGGCAAGCGAAAUGAGCCACCACCAACCACACCAAAGGCUGGUCUUCAUGCAAAGCUGAGGUGAUGUAUGGGGUGGGGUUGGAAGGGAGUCCUCUGAGCUCCUUCUGGAAAACCACACGAUUAGGUCCAACAAGUACUGCUCCCAGUGAGACCAACUGAAAGCAGCAGGCCACAAAAAAUGUCCGGAACUAAUCAACAGAUUAAAAAAACCCUCCCAUCAGGAUAACGCAAGACUGCGUGCCUCUUUGGUGACCAGGCAAACUGUUCCAGCUCGGCAGGGACGCUCUGACUCAUCCUCUGUAUCCAGCAGACUCUGCACUUCCGGAUGUUCAUUCGUUUCAGUCUUUACAAAAUUCUCUUAAUGGAAAAAUUUCAAUUCCCUGGAAGACUGUAAAAGGCACUUGGAGCAGUUCCUUGCUCAAAAAGCCAACACGCUUUGGGAAGAUGGAAUUAUGAAGUUGCCUGGGAAAUGGCAGAAGGUAAUGGAACAAAACAACGAAUACGUACUUCAGUCAAGUUCUUGGUGAAAAUGGAAACUGUCUUUUACUUAAACAUCGAAGAAGCUUUUCGGCCAACCUAAUAAAAGCUCUGAAAACUCUCAAUCAGCAGGCUAACAGUGCAACACGUGGGUGUGUGUCCUGCGUGGACACUGCUUUAUAUGCUGAUCAUUUAAUCCUCCUGAUAAACCGUGAAGACAAGGUGAGGUUCAAGGAAGCUGCCCGACUACUGGGCAGUGAGAGAACGGCUGACCCUGGACAGUCUUGGUCAAGCUGUGCAGAGGGAACUUUGUUGUAGAACUCAGCGGAGGAGACAGACCUGCUGGAUCUCAAAUAGGCGAGAGCCAGAUCCCAUGAAGGCACCGGGCCCGCAGGAGUCAAGCACGCGGCCUGGGCAGCGCUGUGGGGUGAGGAAGUUUUGCUGAAGUUUUUAAGGGGUAUUGUGGGUUUUGCUUUUUUAGCUUUUUUUUUUUAAUGGACAAUUUUUUACUCUUUGUUGUUUUUGUUACAACACUGCUUCUGUUUUUUGUUUUGGUUUUUUGUCUGAGAGGCAUGUGGAAUCUCAGCUCCCGACCAGGGAUCAGACGCACACCCCCUGCACGGGAAGGCAGAGGCUUAACCACUGGACCACAGGGAAGUCUCUCAGGGGUGCCGAGUUUUGAUUAAGAGACCAAGCGUGUUUUCAGCAACAGUUUCCACCCACCAUGGGCUUUUCAUUUAAGAUAUUUCCGAGGAGGGGACAUUAGCGUCUGCCUGGUCCCCUGCUGGAAUUUCUCAUUUUGCAGUGAGCAGCACAUGAAACCCCAAGCUAACCCUCUUCCAAUCCACCUCAUUCUAUAAUUUCUCUCUAAAAAGAAAUCUACGAGUGAGCAAAGCCUUCAUUCACAUCUACAUGGCAUGCGUGCACCAAGCCCGGAAGCUGACCCACUUACUCUCAGGUUGGGGACUUUAAAGAUCUCCCCCAAAUGGUGAAGGCCACUUUGACUCAAGUCUAAAGUCGCGGAGGAGGAGAAGAGGACCCCCUGGUGAACGUCUCUGGAGGCAGAAGCAGGCUUGCUCCCCGCCUGGCCAGCGGGGCUCUCCCGGUCACGAGCCCCGCAGGGAACGGAGAGGGAACCGCUCCCCUCCAUCAGUCGGCCGGGAGGAAGCACUCCUCUGGGGACCACCGCGCAUCCUGGGUGUGGAGUCACCUGGAGAUGGGGGGCGGGGCGGGGCGACACAUCAACAAUGGGUACCACCUUCCGGCGGCUCGGCAGGCCUGCAGUGACUGUGCCAGCUUACGAAAACCUGCGCGUCAUAAACAGACCAUAAACUGGACUUUGGUACGACAAAGUGGGCUGCAAGAGGUUCAGAUUAAACUGCUCCGCUCCUCCCUCUGCACCUCGGAGUUCCAGACUUAACUUUUAAUUCCUGGAAAAUGCAAAGGAGGAAUGGCCGAAUCAGAACGGUUCUAAAUCCACAAGCGGGCAUCUCCCUCCCCUGAGCGCGGAGGGAGCCCUGAGCUCGCCCUUUCUUAUUUGCAGGUCUGGGUCCUUCCCAUCAGCGUUUCGCUCAGCGGGGGUGUUGCCAGCUCACGUGUCUGCUGUGUGUCUGUCCCUCCAUUUCAGGGGCGGGGAUUGCGAGGCCCGCGCCCCCUGGGACUCCCAGUGGGUCCUUUUCUGUGACUCCGGGGAGUGCAGGCUGCAACCUCUGCAAACCUCUGAACCAGGAGGUCUCAGGACUGCGAGCCGCGGGGCGGCGGCGGGCCGCGCAGGGGCUGGAAGGCCGCGUCCCCACAGCGCGGGCCGCGCUCCGGGCUCCACUUCCCAUUACCCGGCGCCCCUGGCCUCUCCCGAUAGGUCCCCGCCCGGGCAGGGCGGGCCGCGCGGGGGCAUGGAGGCGGCGCUCCGGGCCCCGCAAGCGCGCGGUGCCUGAGUCUCCAGUGCGCCCCACCUCCCAUCACCCGGGGCCUCCAGCCUCUCCCGAUGGGUCCCCG
RNAcentral lists this long non-coding RNA (4279 nucleotides) under Ovis aries (sheep). RNAcentral's name for it is "lncRNA (ENSOARG00000026770.1)". Lineage: Eukaryota; Metazoa; Chordata; Mammalia; Artiodactyla; Bovidae. The record is from RNAcentral.